Molecule: ribosomal RNA, 259 nt
Filed under: uncultured bacterium
Lineage: Bacteria
Description: partial 16S ribosomal RNA
Rfam family: Bacterial small subunit ribosomal RNA
Source: RNAcentral
GCAAGUCGAGGGGAAACGACAUUGAAAGCUUGCUUUUGAUGGGCGUCGACCGGCGCACGGGUGAGUAACGAGUAUCCAACCUGUCCACCACUUGGGGAUAACCUUGCGAAAGUAAGACUAAUACCCAAUGACGUCUCUAGAAGACAUCUGAAAGAGAUUAAAGAUUUAUCGGUGAUGGAUGGGGAUGCGUCUGAUUAGCUUGUUGGCGGGGUAACGGCCCACCAAGGCGACGAUCAGUAGGGGUUCUGAGAGGAAGAUC